UUUUUUUGGUGUACAAACUCCAAAAGGUCUGAAAGGUGUUCCUAAAAAGGUUUUGGACAGUGAUUUUAACCCUAAUGCCAAAAACCUCAAACCUUACCCUAGCCCCAAAACCUAAUACCCGGGUAUUACCUUCAGGAAGCCCGAACACCCCAAAUAUUUUUUUUUUUUUUUCUUUUUUUUUUUUGGUCAACCUAACUCCAAAAGGUUGGAAAAGAGUUCCUACAAAGGUUUUUGGACAGUGAUUUUAACCCUAACGCCAAAAACCUUAAACAUUUCCUAAGCCCCAUAACCUAAUACCCGGGUAUUACCUUCAGGAAGCCCGAACACCCCAAAUAUUUUUUUUUCAUUUUUCUUUUUUUUUUGGUCUAACGAACUCCAUAAGGUUGGAAAAGAGUUCCUACAAAGGUUUUGGACAGUGAUUUUCACCCUAACGUCAAAAACCUUAAACCUUACCAUAGCCCAAUAACCUAAUACCCGGGUAUUACCUUCAGGAAGCCCGAACACCCCAAAUAUUUUUUUUUUCAUUUUACAUUUUUUUUGUAUGUAACCAACUCCAAAAGGUCUGAAACAUGUUCCUAAAAAGGUUUUGGACAGUGAUUUUAACCCUAACGCCAAAAACCUCAAACCUUACCCUAGCCCCAAAACCUAAUAUUAGGGUAUUACCUCCAGGAAGCCUGAAAACCCCAAAUAUUUUUUUUUCAUUUCUCUUUUUUUUUGGGUCUAACUGACUCCAAAAGUUUAGAAACAGUUCCUACAAAGGUUUUGGACAGUGAUUUUAACCCUAACGCCAAAAACCUUAAACCUUACCAUAGCCCCAUAACCUGAUACCCGGGUAUUACCUUCAGGAAGCCCGAACACCCCAAAUAUUUUUUUUUAUUUUACUUUUUUUUUUCGGUGUACAAACUCCAAAAGGUCUGAAACGUGUUCCUAAAAAGGUUUUGGACAGUGAUUUUAACCCUAAUGCCAAAAACCUCAAACCUUACCCUAGCCCCAAAACCUAAUACCCGGGUAUUACCUUCAGGAAGCCCGAACACCCCAAAUAUUUUUUUUUCUUUUUUCUUUUUUUUUUUGGUCAACCUAACUCCAAAAGGUUGGAAAAGAGUUCCUACAAAGGUUUUUGGACAGUGAUUUUAACCCUAACGCCAAAAACCUUAAACAUUUCCUAAGCCCCAUAACGUGUUCCUAAAAAGGUUUUGGACAGUGAUUUUAACCCUAAUGCCAAAAACCUCAAACCUUACCCUAGCCCCAAAACCUAAUACCCGGGUAUUACCUUCAGGAAGCCCGAACACCCCAAAUAUUUUUUUUUCUUUUUUCUUUUUACAUUUUUUUUUUGGUGUACAAACUCCAAAAGGUCUGAAAGGUGUUCCUACAAAGGUUUUGGACAGUGAUUUUAACCCUAACGCCAAAAACCUUAAACCUUACCAUAGCCCCAUAACCUGAUACCCGGGUAUUACCUUCAGGAAGCCCGAACACCCCAAAUAUUUUUUUUUAAUUUUACAUUUUUUUUUCGGUGUACAAACUCCAAAAGGUCUGAAACGUGUUCCUACAAAGGUUUUGGACAGUGAUUUUAACCCUAACGCCAAAAACCUUAAACCUUACCAUAGCCCCAUAACCUGAUACCCGGGUAUUACCUUCAGGAAGCCCGAACACCCCAAAUACAUUUUUUUUCUUUUUUCUUUUUUUUUUUGGUCAACCUAACUCCAAAAGGUUGGAAAAGAGUUCCUACAAAGGUUUUUGGACAGUGAUUUUAACCCUAACGCCAAAAACCUUAAACAUUUCAGGAAGCCUGAACACCCCAAAUUUUUUUUUUUCAUUUUUCUUUUUUUUUUGGUCUAACGAACUCCAUAAGGUUGGAAAAGAGUUCCUACAAAGGUUUUGGAAAGUUAUGUUCACCCUAACGUAAAAAACCUUAAACCUUACCAUAGCCCCAUAACCUGAUACCCGGGUAUUACCUUCAGGAAGCCCGAACACCCCAAAUUUUUUUUUUUUCAUUUUACAUUUUUUUUUUGGUGUACAAACUCCAAAAGGUCUGAAACGUGUUCCUAAAAAGGUUUUGGACAGUGAUUUUAACCCUAAUGCCAAAAACCUCAAACCUUACCCUAGCCCCAAAACCUAAUACCCGGGUAUUACCUUCAGGAAGCCCGAACACCCCAAAUAUUUUUUUUUCUUUUUUCUUUUUUUUUUUGGUCAACCUAACUCCAAAAGGUUGGAAAAGAGUUCCUACAAAGGUUUUUGGACAGUGAUUUUAACCCUAACGCCAAAAACCUUAAACAUUUCCUAAGCCCCAUAACCUAAUACCCGGGUAUUACCUUCAGGAAGCCCGAACACCCGAAAUAUUUUUUUUUCAUUUUUCUUUUUUUUUUUGGUCUAACGAACUCCAUAAGGUUGGAAAAGAGUUCCUACAAAGGUUUUGGAAAGUUAUGUUCACCCUAACGUCAAAAACCUUAAACCUUACCAUAGCCCCAUAACCUAAUACCCGGGUAUUACCUUCAGGAAGCCCGAACACCCCAAAUAUUUUUUUUUCAUUUUACAUUUUUUUUUUGUAUAACCAACUCCAAAAGGUCUGAAACAUGUUCCUAAAAAGGUUUUGGACAGUGAUUUUAACCCUAACGCCAAAAACCUCAAACCUUACCCUAGCCCCAAAACCUAAUACCCGGGUAUUACCUCCAGGAAGCCUGAAAACCCCAAAUAUUUUUUAUUCAUUUCUCUUUUUUUUUGGGUCUAACUGACUCCAAAAGUUUAGAAACAGUUCCUACAAAGGUUUUGGACAGUGAUUUUAACCGUAACGCCAAAAACCUUAAACCUUACCAUAGCCCCAUAACCUGAUACCCGGGUAUUACCUUCAGGAAGCCCGAACACCCCAAAUAUUUUUUUUUAAUUUUACAUUUUUUUUUCGGUGUACAAACUCCAAAAGGUCUGAAACGUGUUCCUAAAAAGGUUUUGGACAGUGAUUUUAACCCUAAUGCCAAAAACCUCAAACCUUACCCUAGCCCCAAAACCUAAUACCCGGGUAUUACCUUCAGGAAGCCCGAACACCCCAAAUAUUUUUUUUUCUUUUUUCUUUUUACAUUUUUUUUUUGGUGUACAAACUCCAAAAGGUCUGAAAGGUGUUCCUAAAAAGGUUUUGGACAGUGAUUUUAACCCUAAUGCCAAAAACCUCAAACCUUACCCUAGCACCAAAACCUAAUACCCGGGUAUUACCUUCAGGAAGCCCGAACACCCCAAAUAUUUUUUUUUCUUUUUUCUUUUUUUUUUUUGGUCAACCUAACUCCAAAAGGUUGGAAAAGAGUUCCUACAAAGGUUUUUGGACAGUGAUUUUAACCCUAACGCCAAAAACCUUAAACAUUUCCUAAGCCCCAUAACCUAAUACCCGGGUAUUACCUUCAGGAAGCCCGAACACCCCAAAUAUUUUUUUUUCAUUUUUCUUUUUUUUUUGGUCUAACGAACUCCAUAAGGUUGGAAAAGAGUUCCUACAAAGGUUUUGGAAAGUUAUUUUCACCCUAACGUCAAAAACCUUAAACCUUACCAUAGCCCCAUAACCUAAUACCCGGGUAUUACCUUCAGGAAGCCCGAACACCCCAAAUAUUUUUUUUUUCAUUUUACAUUUUUUUUGUAUGUAACCAACUCCAAAAGGUCUGAAACAUGUUCCUAAAAAGGUUUUGGACAGUGAUUUUAACCCUAACGCCAAAAACCUCAAACCUUACCCUAGCCCCAAAACCUAAUAUUAGGGUAUUACCUCCAGGAAGCCUGGAAACCCCAAAUAUUUUUUUUUCAUUUCUCUUUUUUUUUUGGGUCUAACUGACUCCAAAAGUUUAGAAACAGUUCCUACAAAGGUUUUGGACAGUGAUUUUAACCGUAACGCCAAAAACCUUAAACCUUACCAUAGCCCCAUAACCUGAUACCCGGGUAUUACCUUCAGGAAGCCCGAACACCCCAAAUAUUUUUUUUUAAUUUUUACAUUUUUUUUUCGGUGUACAAACUCCAAAAGGUCUGAAACGUGUUCCUAAAAAGGUUUUGGACAGUGAUUUUAACCCUAAUGCCAAAAACCUCAAACCUUACCCUAGCCCCAAAACGUAAUACCCGGGUAUUACCUUCAGGAAGCCCGAACACCCCAAAUAUUUUUUAUUCCUUUUUCCUUUUUUUUUUGGUCUAACUAACUCCAAAAGGUCUGAAACGUGUUCCUAAAAAGGUUUUGGACAGUGAUUUUAACCCUAAUGCCAAAAACCUCAAACCUUACCCUAGCCCCAAAACCUAAUACCCGGGUAUUACCUUCAGGAAGCCCGAACACCCCAAAUAUUUUUUAUUCCUUUUUUCUUUUUUUUUUUGGUCAACCUAACUCCAAAAGGUUGGAAAAGAGUUCCUACAAAGGUUUUUGGACAGUGAUUUUAACCCUAACGCCAAAAACCUUAAACAUUUCCUAAGCCCCAAAACCUAAUACCCGGUAAAAUGGUUAAAAUCACUGGUAUGGUAUUACCUUCAGGAAGCCUGAACACCCCAAAUAUUUUUUAUUUCAUUUUUCAUUUUUUUUUGGUCUAACUGACUCCGUGUUUGGAAAAGAGUUCCUACAAAGGUUUUGGACAGUGAUUUUAACCCUAACGCCAAAAACCUUAAACCUUACCAUAGCCCCAUAACCUGAUACCCGGGUAUUACCUUCAGGAAGCCCGAACACCACAAAUAUUUUUUUUUCAUUUUACAUUUUUUUUUUGGUGUACAAACUCCAAAAGGUCUGAAAGGUGUUCCUAAAAAGGUUUUGGACAGUGAUUUUAACCCUAAUGCCAAAAACCUCAAACCUUACCCUAGCACCAAAACCUAAUACCCGGGUAUUACCUUCAGGAAGCCCGAACACCCCAAAUAUUUUUUUUUCUUUUUUUUUUUUUUUUUUGGUCAACCUAACUCCAAAAGGUUGGAAAAGAGUUCCUACAAAGGUUUUUGGACAGUGAUUUUAACCCUAACGCCAAAAACCUUAAACAUUUCCUAAGCCCCAUAACCUAAUACCCGGGUAUUACCUUCAGGAAGCCCGAACACCCCAAAUAUUUUUUUUUCAUUUUUCUUUUUUUUUUGGUCUAACUAACUCCAAAAGGUUGGAAAAGAGUUCCUACAAAGGUUUUGGACAGUGAUAUUAACCCUAACGCCAAAAGCCUUAAACCUUCCCCUAGCCCCAUAAUCUAAUACCUGGGUAUUACCUUCAGGAAGCCCGAACCCCCCAAAUAUUUUUUUUUCACUUUUCAUUUAUUUUUGGUGUAACUAACUCCAAAAGGUCUGAAACUUGUUCCCACAAAGGUUUUGGACAGUGAUUUUUACCCUAAUGCCAAAAACCUUAGACCUUACCAUAGCCCCAUAACCUAAUACCUGGGUAUUACCUUCAGGAAGCCCGAACACCCCAAAUAUAUAUUUUUUCAUUUUACUUUUUUUUUUGGUGUAACAAACUCCAAAAGUUCUGAAACAUGUUCCUAAAAAGGUUUUGGACAGUGAUUUUAACCCUAACGCCAAAACCUUAAACCUUCCCCUAGCCCCAUAACCUAAUAACCUGGGUAUUACCUUCAGGAAGCCCGAAAACCCCAAAUAUUUUUUUAUUCAUUUUUUUGGUCUAAAUAACUCCAAAAGCUUGGAAAAGAGUUCCUACAAAGGUUUUGGACAGUGAUUUUAACCCUAACGCCAAAAGCCUUAAACCUUCCCCUCGCCCCAUAACCUAAUAUCUGGGUAUUACCUUCAGGAAGCCCGAACACCCCAAAUAUUUUUUUUUCACUUUUCAUUUCUUUUUGGUGUAACUAACUCCCAAAGGUCUGAAACUUAUUCCAACAAAGGUUUUGGACAGUGAUUUUAACCCUAAUGCCAAAAACCUUAGACCUUACCAUAGCCCCAUAACCUAAUACCUGGGUAUUUCCUUCAGGAAGCCCGAACACCCCAAAUAUAUUUUUUUUCAUUUUACAUUUUUUUUUUGGUGUAACAAACUCCAAAAGUUCUGAAACAUGUUCCUAAAAAGGUUUUGGACAGUGAUUUUAACCCUAACGCCAAAAACCUUAAACCUGACCAUAGCCCCGUAACCUAAUACCCGGGUAUUACCUUCAGGAAGCCUUCAAACCCCAAACAUUUUUUUUUUCAUUUUUCGUUUUUUUUUUUGGUCUAGCUAACUCCAAAAGGUUGGAAAAGAGUUCCUACAAAGGUUUUGGACAGUGAUUUUAACCCUAACGCCAAAAACCACGUCUGUACGCUUUGUCAUAUUGAUACAAAAAUUGACACACACGUGUAUCUUAAUAAGGUCUACGAAAAAGUCAGUGCAGGCGCUUUUGUGAAAAGUACGGUUAAAGGGCUAUUUCGCAUUUUUUGCCGGUCCGCACACAUUGGAAUGUGGCUAACUCCUCUGAAG
Xyrichtys novacula (pearly razorfish) is the source of this 6367-nucleotide non-coding RNA. The record is from the annotation of a GenBank genome assembly. NCBI's taxonomy places the organism in Eukaryota, Metazoa, Chordata, Actinopteri, Labriformes, Labridae.